CAGCCGCCGCGGGAAUACGAAGGGUGCAAGCGUUACUCGGAAUUACUGGGCGUAAAGCGUGCGUAGGUGGUGGUUUAAGUCAGAUGUGAAAUCCCCGAGCUUAACUUGGGAACUGCAUUUGAAACUGGCAAGCUAGAGUCUUGUAGAGGGGGGUAGAAUUCCAGGUGUAGCGGUGAAAUGCGUAGAGACCUGGAGGAAUACCGGUGGCGAAAGCGGCCCCCUGGACAAAGACUGACGCUCAGGUGCGAAAGCGUGGGGAGCAAACAGGAUUAGAUACCCGAGUAGUCCCUGUCUCUUAUAC
RNAcentral lists this ribosomal RNA (301 nucleotides) under uncultured bacterium. Its description in RNAcentral is "partial 16S ribosomal RNA". It matches the Rfam family "Bacterial small subunit ribosomal RNA", at positions 509 to 807 of the family's 1533-position model. The record is from RNAcentral.